UCGUCUCCCUCGAGUGGAGGGCUUGACAUGCUUAAAAAUGAAUCUGAUGUUGUGAAAGAAAGCUUGGCAAAGAAGCAAACGGAGAAAGGGAAAGAUACGCCUAGCGCCCAUUUAAAUGGCAGCUCAACAAAGGAAAUAUAUGCAGCGUUCUGAUUCGUUCUUUUUCCAGUGGAUUAUUAUGUUAAUCAGUUGUUAGUAGCUGAUAAAUAAAUGUGGCCUUCAGUCGGUUCUGCGAACGUCGGAGUACAAUAACG
Molecule: unclassified non-coding RNA, 254 nt
Filed under: Hevea brasiliensis (rubber tree)
Lineage: Eukaryota; Viridiplantae; Streptophyta; Magnoliopsida; Malpighiales; Euphorbiaceae
Source: RNAcentral